GCACAGGAUCCUAGGUGAGAAGCCUAAGGCAUAAUUGUAAUGUGAGCAAGGGAAAUCGGCAAAAUGGAUGAAAAACCUCGGGAUAAUCAUUGGCUCUAGCAUGCUAGAACUGGGCUUACAAGGGGAAUCUGACUGUUUAAUAAAAACAUAGCUUUGUGUGUACGCAAAGUGAAUUCUGCCCAGUGCUUGGGACGUUAAGGAAGUAAUUUUAAGUACGCACCUGUAAACGGCGGGAGUAACUAUGACUCUCUUAAGGUAGCCAAAUGCCUCGUCGCCUAAUUAGCGACGCGCAUGAAUGGAGCAACGAGAUUCCCACUGUCCCUGCUCACAGAUUUGCGAACCUACAGCCAAGGGAACGGGCUUGGGACAUGCAGCGGGGAAAGAAGACCCUGUUGAGCUUGACUCUAGCCAAGCACAGGCCUCUGUGACUAUAUCGUAGCGAGGUGGGAGAAAUGUGUGAGACCACUGACAUAGUCGGCGGGGGCACUCGCAAAGCUUGGUGGGGAGUUUGGCUGGGGCGGCACGACUACUAAAACAUAACGUAGACGUCCAAAGGUAAGCUCCGAGGGGAUGGAAACCACUCCGAGAGUAUAAGGGCAAAAGCUUGCUUUAGUUAUUAAUGUAAAUUAAUAAUACUGGAAACAGGGGCCUAGAGAUCCUCUAUGAAACUAAGCAUAGAGGUGACGGAAAAGUUACCACAGGGAUAACUGGCUUGUGGCGGCCGAGCGUCCAUAGCGACGCCGCUUUUUGAUUCUUCGAUGUCGGCUCUUCCGAGCAUGGUGGAGUAUCAGCCACCAAGUGUGUGAUUGUUCACCAACUAACAGGGAACGUGAGCUGGGUUUAGACCGUCGCGAGACAGGUUAGUUUUACCCUACUGCAUCGCGUCCGAGAGUAGGUCGGGGCAGUACGAGAGGAAGUGCCGAUCAGACCGCUGGUGAUACUUUCGUCUGUUAGGCGCGAAUGUAGCUACGUUCUUCUAUAUAACUGAAGGCUCUAGCUAGAUGAGUACUUAGGACGCAAGAUAUGAGAUACUAUGUAAGAUGAGGGUUGACAAAAAAGCUUUCGCAGUAUUCAACCACUUUUUCUUUUUAAACUGCUGCCCGAAACUAGGAAUUGGGGAAGGAAAUUAUUUUUAUUGCGGUCGGGUUUCCCGGGUUGCCCAGCGGGGGAAGCCUAUGCGAAAACGGAAACCCCU
Ribosomal RNA from Enterocytozoon bieneusi H348, 1195 nucleotides. It matches the Rfam family "Eukaryotic large subunit ribosomal RNA", at positions 1856 to 3401 of the family's 3401-position model. NCBI's taxonomy places the organism in Eukaryota, Fungi, Microsporidia, Enterocytozoonidae. The record is from Rfam.